GUGCUCGCUUCAGCAGCACAAAUAUUAAAACUGGAAUGACACAGAAAAGAUUAGCAUGGCCCCUGCGCAAGGACGACAUGCAGAUGUAUGAAGCCUUCCACAUUUUU
RNAcentral lists this small nuclear RNA (107 nucleotides) under Propithecus coquereli (Coquerel's sifaka). Lineage: Eukaryota; Metazoa; Chordata; Mammalia; Primates; Indriidae. The record is from RNAcentral.